AUACUGUUUAUUUUCGUGCAGGGAGACGGGCAGUUAAUGAAGGCUGUAGAAAAUGAACUCAACAAGAGUAUAAAGCGUCAUUUAGAAAGUGCUCCUUUGACGUCAGACCUCGAUCUGAAGCCGAGUCUACUAAGUGAUGGGGACAGCGGUUCGUACGGUCCGCUGACCGCUUCAUCCAAGCAAUACAUGUCCGUUUUAAGGAAAAACUACUUCGUGUAAGAGACAGAUAGUGUGACUAUAAAUUAUACUCGACCUUUCUUCACUGUGUGGCAAAUAGCCUCAAAGGCUUAAAAGUGAAUUUCUUCAGUUAACAAUUUGUAAAAUAACCGACCAGUUCAUUUGGUUUGUAUUUUAAGCCACAUGAACAGAAUUUAUCUCAAAAGAAAAGAUGUUGAAAUAUCCUUUUCUGAGGAAAAAGGUCAUUUUUUAUGACUAAUUCAGAACAAAAUUAAGUUUAUAAAAAUCAUUUUUAGUACUUGUAUGUAUGUAUGUAUGUAUUUAUAUUAUAAUUGUAUCAUAACGCGCUUCAAAUGACUGCCAUUUUGAUACAUCAAGUAUUUAUUUCUCGAUUUUUCUUGCAUGCGAUCGCUAUAGUUGUCACAUUUAUUUUGUACCCGCAUACGGAACGAUUUUUGCACUCAAUAAAAAAAAAUAUAUUUUUCUAAAA
Long non-coding RNA from Orbicella faveolata, 667 nucleotides. Lineage: Eukaryota; Metazoa; Cnidaria; Anthozoa; Scleractinia; Merulinidae. The record is from RefSeq and is a predicted model, not a curated record.